AACUGGAAGGAUCUCAAAGAGGCAUAAAAAGGAUUGAGGCUAUAGACAGGAUGUAUCAAGACAUUAACGAGAGGACAUUUAACCUACAGCAGCCAGGCUGGACAUGAAGGUUCUGGAUGGGUGACAGGAUGGAUGGACAGAGCUGCUCUUGAUGAAAGAGGUGAUGAACCUGACCUUAUAGAAGUACACCUGCUGCCAGGCUACCUGAAGUACACUGAAAGAAACAACACGAAUACCCUC
Colius striatus (speckled mousebird) is the source of this 240-nucleotide long non-coding RNA. RefSeq lists it as uncharacterized. Lineage: Eukaryota; Metazoa; Chordata; Aves; Coliiformes; Coliidae. The record is from RefSeq and is a predicted model, not a curated record. The transcript is spliced from 3 exons.